Long non-coding RNA from Odocoileus virginianus texanus, 321 nucleotides. RefSeq lists it as uncharacterized. The record is from RefSeq and is a predicted model, not a curated record. NCBI's taxonomy places the organism in Eukaryota, Metazoa, Chordata, Mammalia, Artiodactyla, Cervidae.
CACACACACCACCUGCCAAGCAUCUGCUUGGCCUACCGGGGGCAUAAUCAUCUAACCAAAGCUUAUCUUACGAGAAAAUGCCGAGAUUGUGUAAUUUACUGAUCCUGUGCUGAAGUGAAGAACACAAUGGUUGUAGGAGUAGAGAGUGCUGGAAGAACUCACUACAAAGUUAAAAGAGCAAAGUAUAUGGCUUCAUUUCUAAGUAAUUAGCCUCAUUAGAAAAGAACCACAAGUCUUUGAGGAUGACCUACGAACAGGAGGUAGUGAGCCAGUCAUGCAGGAUCCUAUCACUUAGCAAUUAAACCGUUCAACUGGAAACCA